ACUCUUGGACAGCCUUCUGAAAGGAAGAUUAAUACAAGAUGGCAUCAUGAGUUCACAUGUUCACAUGAUUAAAGGUAUUCCGGUAGACGAUGGGGAUGCGUUCCAUUAGAUAGUAGGCGGGGUAACGGCCCACCUAGUCUUCGAUGGAUAGGGGUUCUGAGAGGAAGGUCCCCCACAUUGGAACUGAGACACGGUCCAAACUCCUACGGGAGGCAGCAGUGAGGAAUAUUGGUCAAUGGGCGAGAGCCUGAACCAGCCAAGUAGCGUGAAGGAUGACUGCCCUAUGGGUUGUAAACUUCUUUUAUAAAGGAAUAAAGUCGGGUAUGGAUACCCGUUUGCAUGUACUUUAUGAAUAAGGAUCGGCUAACUCCGUGCCAGCAGCCGCGGUAAUACGGAGGAUCCGAGCGUUAUCCGGAUUUAUUGGGUUUAAAGGGAGCGUAGAUGGAUGUUUAAGUCAGUUGUGAAAGUUUGCGGCUCAACCGUAAAAUUGCAGUUGAUACUGGAUAUCUUGAGUGCAGUUGAGGCAGGCGGAAUUCGUGGUGUAGCGGUGAAAUGCUUAGAUAUCACGAAGAACUCCGAUUGCGAAGGCAGCCUGCUAAGCUGCAACUGACAUUGAGGCUCGAAAGUGUGGGUAUCAGACAGGAUUAGAUACCCUGGUAGUCCACACGGUAAACGA
This 676-nucleotide ribosomal RNA is filed under the name uncultured bacterium. Its description in RNAcentral is "bacterial SSU rRNA". It matches the Rfam family "Bacterial small subunit ribosomal RNA", at positions 135 to 809 of the family's 1533-position model. The record is from RNAcentral.